This 434-nucleotide ribosomal RNA is filed under the name uncultured Lachnospiraceae bacterium. RNAcentral describes it as "partial 16S ribosomal RNA". The record is from RNAcentral. Lineage: Bacteria; Bacillati; Bacillota; Clostridia; Lachnospirales; Lachnospiraceae.
CACGUAGUUAGCCGGGGCUUCUUAGUCAGGUACCGUCAUUUUCUUUCCUGCUGAUAGAGCUUUACGUACUGAAAUACUUCUUCACUCACGCGGCGUCGCUGGAUCAGGGUUUCCCCCAUUGUCCAAUAUUCCCCACUGCUGCCUCCCGUAGGAGUUUGGGCCGUGUCUCAGUCCCAAUGUGGCCGUCCACCCUCUCAGGCCGGCUACUGAUCGUCGCCUUGGGUCGGGCCGUUACCCCGCCAACCAGCUAAUCAGACGCGGGCCCAUCCCAUACCACCGGUAGUUUUCACACACCUUCAUGCGAAGCUGUGCGCUUAUGUCGGUUUAGCACCUUGUUUCCGAGGUCGUUACGUCCCCCGGUAGUGGGGCAGGGUUCGCCCACGGUCGUUACUCCACCCGUCCGACCUAACCUAACUUACUACUUCCCGUUAGUC